CCUACGGGAGGCAGCAGUGGGGAAUAUUGGACAAUGGGGGAAACCCUGAUCCAGCCAUGCCGCGUGUGUGAAGAAGGCCUUUUGGUUGUAAAGCACUUUAAGCAGUGAAGAAGACUCUUCGGUUAAUACCCGGAGACGACGACAUUAGCUGCAGAAUAAGCACCGGCUAACUCUGUGCCAGCAGCCGCGGUAAU
This 194-nucleotide ribosomal RNA is filed under the name uncultured bacterium. RNAcentral describes it as "partial 16S ribosomal RNA". It matches the Rfam family "Bacterial small subunit ribosomal RNA", at positions 338 to 524 of the family's 1533-position model. The record is from RNAcentral.